AACAGAUUGUUUUGUUUUAUUGCCAUUGUCUGGAAGGUGAAGAACAGUAUCACGUGCUGAGGAUGGAAAGCUGAAGCCAAACCUUUACCUGAGUUCCCAGUUGAGAAAGUAACAGCCAUAACCCAACCUGAGGCAGAGCUUCCACAAAACACAGGCCAUGAAGUCUCCUACCAUCUCCUUGUAGACUGGGCUCCCAUAGAUCGUAGUUUUCUCUCUGCUUCAAUACUCUGAAAGAUCAAACGUCAUCUAGAGUUUCAUAGAACCUUUUAGUACUUUACUCCUUCUGAAGAGUCUUAGUUAGUCAGUUCUGGAAUCACAGGCACUGAAAGAGCUCCAUCUGACCCAAGAAAGCAACCAGUAUGCUGUUUUAAAUUGUGACUGCAACUCAGAUCCUCCUUUGAGCUGGACAUUCCACUCCUACCUGUAUGGUUUUCCUUAUCAUCAAAAGACUGUUCCAGUCAGUCGAUCUUGCCUGUUUUCCCUGCAUUUAAUUCCUCUUACUAUUGUUUUUUCUAUUUAUUUAAGCUACCAGGAGGCAAGAAGCACCUGUGACUAGAGAAAACAACCCGCUUUUGUCCAAAUCCCUCCUCGAGCAGCCUAAUGGUGACUCACUCUCCUAUGAUCUCCUUUCACCUUUUCUUUUAGCUCUGAAAAACAAUGGGCAAUGUCACUGUGGCCUUCUGAAAUCCAUUACCACUGCUGCAAAGCAGGACUAAAUGGGAGGACAAGGAACUAAAUCAUCUCAAACCCCAUUCAAGUCGUCUUCUUCAUACAUGGCUUUCUUUAAGCAAGACUCUGUGCACGAGGGGUGCUUUGCAGAACAAAAGACAAGUGCCACUUCCCAAGAGACCUGAAGUUCUAUUUUUAGAAAUGAUGCAACACCAGAGAGAAGCGGCUGCUGUGAGGAAGGGCAUCACGAGACUGAUGGUGCUCGAUGGUCCUGCUUUAUUUUGCUCUCCCCUCCCUCUUUGAAGACCUCCGUGCAGCAGGGCCGGGAGCAGGAUUUCUUUGGGGAGAGGUGGGAUGAAGCUGGUCAGGGCCUGAGAGCAGCAUGAAAGAACUGAAUGGUGUUGAGACAUA
This 1080-nucleotide long non-coding RNA is filed under the name Strigops habroptila (Kakapo). RNAcentral's name for it is "lncRNA (ENSSHBG00005014866.1)". Lineage: Eukaryota; Metazoa; Chordata; Aves; Psittaciformes; Psittacidae. The record is from RNAcentral.